RNAcentral lists this ribosomal RNA (589 nucleotides) under uncultured Neisseria sp. RNAcentral's name for it is "bacterial SSU rRNA". It matches the Rfam family "Bacterial small subunit ribosomal RNA", at positions 338 to 918 of the family's 1533-position model. The record is from RNAcentral. Lineage: Bacteria; Pseudomonadati; Pseudomonadota; Betaproteobacteria; Neisseriales; Neisseriaceae.
CCUACGGGAGGCAGCAGUGGGGAAUUUUGGACAAUGGGCGCNAGCNUGAUCCCAGCCAUGCCGCGUGUAUGAAGAAGGCCUUCGGGUUGUAAAGUACUUUUGUCAGGGAAGAAAAGCCUGAGGAUAACACCCUCAGGUCAUGACGGUACUUGAAGAAUAAGCACCGGCUAACUACGUGCCAGCAGCCGCGGUAAUACGUAGGGUGCGAGCGUUAAUCGGAAUUACUGGGCGUAAAGCGAGCGCAGACGGUUAUUUAAGCAAGAUGUGAAAGCCCCGGGCUCAACCUGGGAACUGCGUUUUGAACUGGGUAACUAGAGUGUGUCAGAGGGGGGUAGAAUUCCACGUGUAGCAGUGAAAUGCGUAGAGAUGUGGAGGAAUACCGAUGGCGAAGGCAGCCCCCUGGGAUAACACUGACGUUCAUGCUCGAAAGCGUGGGUAGCAAACAGGAUUAGAUACCCUGGUAGUCCACGCCCUAAACGAUGUCAAUUAGCUGUUGGGGUACAUGAUGCCUUAGUAGCGUAGCUAACGCGUGAAAUUGACCGCCUGGGGAGUACGGUCGCAAGAUUAAAACUCAAAUGAAUUGACGGGG